This is a long non-coding RNA of Zingiber officinale, 427 nucleotides long. RefSeq lists it as uncharacterized. The transcript is spliced from 3 exons. The record is from RefSeq and is a predicted model, not a curated record. NCBI's taxonomy places the organism in Eukaryota, Viridiplantae, Streptophyta, Magnoliopsida, Zingiberales, Zingiberaceae.
UGAGGGACAGAUCAUGCAUCGUCUCCCAUCGGUAGACCAUUCCUCUUCUCUCCUCACGCUGGACACAGUGUGAUUACCCUUUUUGCUGGCCGGAUUGGACCGAGCGGCAUCACCUAGUAGUGAUCUUGGAGGAAGGGCAUCGCCGAAUUGCGUCUCCUUCCACCAUCGGCCACCGAAGCUUAGAGAGGUGCCCUAGUCCGGAAUUGUGCCACUCGAUCGUCUGCGAGGGUCACGGAUUGGGUGACACCUCCUGGAGACAAUCGGUUGAGUGAGGACCUGUUCUGUGGAUUGCUCUAUGAUCCAACAAUAUAUUGUUUCAACAGCAACUCGAUUAGAGCAGUGAGGUCCUGUUGUUGUGGUGUUGGGAAGGUGAUCGUGAAGUGAUUUUAGCAGCAACCUUGAUCCAGCAAGCAAUAGGGGCUGUGAA